Molecule: ribosomal RNA, 491 nt
Filed under: uncultured bacterium
Lineage: Bacteria
Description: partial 16S ribosomal RNA
Rfam family: Bacterial small subunit ribosomal RNA
Source: RNAcentral
AGUGAACGCUGGCGGUAGGCCUAACACAUGCAAGUCGAACGGCAGCACAGUAAGAGCUUGCUCUUACGGGUGGCGAGUGGCGGACGGGUGAGGAAUACAUCGGAAUCUACUUUUUCGUGGGGGAUAACGUAGGGAAACUUACGCUAAUACCGCAUACGACCUACGGGUGAAAGCAGGGGAUCUUCGGACCUUGCGCGAUUGAAUGAGCCGAUGUCGGAUUAGCUAGUUGGCGGGGUAAAGGCCCACCAAGGCGACGAUCCGUAGCUGGUCUGAGAGGAUGAUCAGCCACACUGGAACUAGGAAACGGGCCAGACCCCUACGGGGGGCAGCAGGGGGGAAAUUUGGCAAAGGGGGGCAAGCCUGAUCCAGCCAUCCCGGGUGGGUGAAGAAGGCCUUCGGGUGGUAAAGCCCUUUUGUUGGGAAAAAAAAGAAGCAGGUUAAUCCCCCGCUGUUCUGGCGGUACCCAAAGAAUAAGCACCGGCUAACUUCGU